This 253-nucleotide ribosomal RNA is filed under the name uncultured bacterium. RNAcentral describes it as "partial 16S ribosomal RNA". It matches the Rfam family "Bacterial small subunit ribosomal RNA", at positions 524 to 776 of the family's 1533-position model. The record is from RNAcentral.
UACGUAGGGGGCGAGCGUUGUCCGGAAUCACUGGGCGUAAAGGGUGCGUAGGCGGGUCUUUAAGUCAGGGGUGAAAUCCUGGAGCUCAACUCCAGAACUGCCUUUGAUACUGAGAAGCUUGAGUCCGGGAGAGGUGAGUGGAACUGCGAGUGUAGAGGUGAAAUUCGUAGAUAUUCGCAAGAACACCAGUGGCGAAGGCGGCUCACUGGCCCGGUACUGACGCUGAGGUGCGAAAGCGUGGGGAGCAAACAGG